ACGGGGGGUGCAAGCGUUGUUCGGAAUUACUGGGCGUAAAGAGCGUGCAGGCGGGUGAAUAAGUCAGAUGUGAAAGCCCUGGGCUUAACCCCGGAAGGGCAUUUGAAACUACUUAACUUGAGUACUGGAGAGGAAGGGGGAAUUCCCAGUGUAGAGGUGAAAUUCGUAGAUAUCGGGAGGAACACCGGUGGCGAAGGCGACUUUCUGGACCGAAACUGACGCUGAGACGCGAAAGCGUGGGUAGCAAACAG
This 251-nucleotide ribosomal RNA is filed under the name uncultured prokaryote. RNAcentral's name for it is "partial 16S rRNA". It matches the Rfam family "Bacterial small subunit ribosomal RNA", at positions 525 to 775 of the family's 1533-position model. The record is from RNAcentral.